Molecule: non-coding RNA, 29 nt
Filed under: Rattus norvegicus (Norway rat)
Lineage: Eukaryota; Metazoa; Chordata; Mammalia; Rodentia; Muridae
Source: RNAcentral
GGCCAGAAUUCGAUUGGUCAGUUGCUGCA